This 4086-nucleotide long non-coding RNA is filed under the name Homo sapiens (human). RNAcentral's name for it is "HSALNT0404179". Lineage: Eukaryota; Metazoa; Chordata; Mammalia; Primates; Hominidae. The record is from RNAcentral.
GUCUUCUCUCUUGGCUUUGGAGCUCCCCAUUCCUCUGUGUCUGUAACAGGGGAGCUUCUUCCUUCUUUCUUCUCCCUUCUUUCUUGCCUGUUAAACUCUCUGCUUCUUAAAACCACUCCAUGUAUGUCCAGGUCAUUUUAUCUAAUUUGGAGACGGAGAACCCUGGUGUUCCUCUGCUCAUCAGAGCCGUCUCACCUGCAAGGGCCAGGAUCCAGCACUAGGGCUGCCCUUUAUGUUCAUGCAGCCUCCACUAGGAAGAUCCUCCUUAGCUGCCACCUGCUGUAAAGGGAUCUAUCUAUCUAUCUGUCUAUCUAUCUAUCUAUCUAUCUUUCUAUCUACCUGUCGAGAGAGAGAGAGGUUUAUUAUAAGGAAUUGACUCAUGUGAUUAUGGAGGCUGAGAAGUUCCACAGUCUGCUGUCUGCAAGCUGGAGACCCAGGAAGGCUGCUGGUGCCGUUCCAGUUUGAUUCUGAAGGCCUGAGAACCAGAACUGAUGCCCACUCAACAUGAAGAUGACAAGGAUGAAGACCUUUAUGAUGAUCCAUUCCCACUUACUGAAUAAACUUCACCAGGACCCAGGAAAUAAGAUUUGAUUGCUGCACACUUAGAAACAAUGGCAAUCAAGGGAAAUGCCCCAUCUUACAUGGAGCUCUUCUAGUGGAAACACCAUGGUUGCCACCACGUACUGCUCCGUACCUAAGUUUCUAGGAACCAGACUCUGGAAACUCUUCUAGAACUGCCCCAGGAGAACCAACGUGUCUGUUGCUUGCAAAGACCUCCAGUGUCCCUGAGCCUGGCCACUGCCUCCCAUUGCUCAAACCCUCCUAGUCUCGUAUGUGGACAUCUGCUUGGAAGAAUCUCAUCCACGUACAAAAUCCUGGCUCUGACAGGGUCUCACUCUGUCACCCAGACGGGUGUGCAGUGGCAUGAUCAUGGCUCACUGCAGCCUUGAUUCCAAGGGUGAAGUGAUCUUUCCACCUCAGCAUCCCAAGUAGCUGGGACUACAGGAUGAAGCUUCUUGGUGAUGUAACAGUCUGUGGAAACUCCCACAGGACAAAUGCAGAAAGGAAGGACCUAGAUCACUGGAUGGUCAACGUUGCCCCUUGCACAGCAGCAAAGGCCUAUACAAAUUUUUUGAGUAGCUUUAUCUAGUGGUUCAGCUACUGGGAAUAACUUGUAAAAUCCCCUGGAUAGUCAACAGCAUUGGGGCUUGCUUUGUAAACAGAGACCUGACCUACUUAAUUCUUCCCAGAGGUUGGAAAAAGAGGCUGGACUCACACAGACAUGAAACCUUGGCUUAAUUGGACACUAAUUACUCAUAAGAGAUCUGUUUACCCGAACUUCCCCUAGACCAAGCUCAGUAUAAAAUGAGAGGAUGCAUAAAGAAGCAAGAUAUUUAGAGGAAAAUGUCACAAAUACAUUUAUCAGUCCCAAAAGUCCUUUUUUUUCCCCAGAAGUGAUGUUGCUAAUUGCACAAAAAUAAACAAUACAGGGGUUGAUAAAUUCCACAUUUAAGGGCUGAGGAUAGUGUCCCUACAUUUCUAAGAAGCUGUAUAUUUGGAAAUGAAUACAAUUGAAAGUAAGGAUAAGUGGCAUUCUAAAGCCAAUUGGAUAACUUGAAUGAACAAGCAGAAUUUACCAUAUUUUGAUAUGUUUCUUUUUGAUUAAAGUAUCUGUAAAGGAAACAAAUUAUAGUAUUGCUAUAGAUUUUAUUACUGAACAAGAAAAAAAGGCUUGAUGUUGUGCAUUUCCUUUUGGCCUUUGGUCUUGGCUGAUAUUGGGCAUCCAAUGAGCUUCUUUGUCUUGAAUGAAGACUUAAGAGGGAGUGAAAAGUAGGAAGAGCAUCAAAACUUCUUUGCAGGAUGUAAUCAAACCACCUACUACUUAUUGUCUUACGAUCCAUUUAUUCAACAAAUGGAACAUCUCAAUUGCUUGAUGCUAUUACAGACACUAGGUAUAGUCUUAGAAAAACAAAUUGCUGUUUUUAUAUAGCUUGUGUUAUGGGUUGAUGUAGUACAGUCAAAAUUAUUUAAAUAAAGGAAGAUGUGAGGAAGACUUUGAACUUAGAAAUCUGGGUUCUCAUCCAAGCUUUGCUGCUAGCUUGUUGGGGGAACCUUGGGUGAUGAGUUGGUUGACUCCUUCCAGAUCUCAGCGUUCAUCCAUCAAGUGAGGGAACUUGACCAGAUAUUCAAUAAUGGCCCUUCCAGCCCCAUCUCUAUAUGAAAGGGAAACCACAGUAUGGGCCCAUGGGGAAGAUCAUGGACUUUGGAGUAAAACAUUUCUGGCUUGGUCAAUUAUUUAAUCUCUUGAUCCCGAUCAAUUCAUGUAACUACUCUGACCCUCAGUUUCCUUGCUGCAAAAUGAGAUACUAAUAUUUGCUCAAAUAAGAUAACAGGCAAAACAAUCAUGAGGGCUCCUGGCACACCACUGUGCAUGGCUUUUGCUCCCUUGGGGAGCUUAUAAAUGAAAAAAAGAUUUUACAAUGCAAAGACAGUAAGCAUUUUGUUAGUGAAGCAACAAAAUAAUUGGGCAAUUUCCUCUCAAUUGCACCAUCAACUGAUGCCCAACCUAGAAAGCAUUUGGCUAAGAAUGGAAAAGGAAUCUUUGCCCAGAUCCCUCAAUUUUGACCAUCAUGGCAUAUACAUGAAUUGGCAGACUAAAUUUAUGCUCCUUUUGAAAACUGUGUCCAUUCCAAGAAGUCAGGCUAUUUUCACCCAGCCUGGUCUAGGCAGUGGGACUCCCCAAGGCUACAAGCAGAGCCACAGUGCUCUGGGCUGGGCUGCCACACUGUCAUGCUGGGGCAAAGAUGGCAGCAGACAGCUCUCUUGGGUAACAGCAGGAAGCUCUUUUCACAAGAGUGAUCUCAUCUCUUAGGGGACUAUGGUAGAAACACAGGGCAAAAGCUAUAGGAAUGGUCCAACAUAAUAACUGUUUUUUUUUUUAAUUUUCAAAACAUGAUAAAUGAUUAAGAAUAUAAAACUGGAAUUUAGAACUUACAGAGAACUUGUAUGAAUAAAUUAAAAAGACAACCUAAUUUUAAAAUGGGCAGAAGUCUUGGGCAGGCACAUUACAAUAUAGCAGGGGUCACCAAAUUAAAGCCUCACCAGCAAAAUCCACCUCCCAUCCCAGCCUGUUUUUAUAAAUAAGCUGUGUUGGAACACAGCCAAUCCCAUUCAUUCACACAUUGCCCAUGGCUGCUUUUGCUUGACAACAGCAUAGUUGAGUAGUAGGGACAAGACCAUAUGACCUCCAAAGCCAGAGAUAUUAACUGUCAGGCCCUUUAUAGAGUGAUUCACGGAGACCCCCAUAAUAGAGGAAAAUACAAGUGGCCAAUAGCACAUAAGAAGAUGCCCAGUAUUACAGCCAAGAGGAAAAUGCAAAUUACACCCACAGUAAGAUACCAUUAUGCAUCCAUUAGAAAGGCUAAAAUUAAAAGGACUGACAACAACAAGUGUUGACAAUGGUGGGUAACAGCAAGAGCUCUCAUACACUGAUGGUUGAAGUGUAAAUUGGUUCAGUUUUGGAAAAGAGUUUGGAGGUGUCUACUACAGUUAAACAUACAUAUUUCCAUGCCCCAGAAACUCCUGGGCAUAUUCUCAAAAGAAACGAGGGCUGUGGCCACCAAGAGACAUGUGUGAGAAAGGUCCUAGCACCUUUAUAUAUCAUAGUCCCAAACAGAAAACAACACAUACCCAUCCACGUUAGGAUGAACUAAAUAAAUUGGGGCAUAUGCAUUCAAUGGAAUAGUACAUAGCAAUGAAAAAAUAAACUGUUGCCCCAUGCAAAGAUGUUUUACAGACAUAACGUUAAGCAGAAGAAAGCAGAUCUCAAGGAGCCCACAUUGUACAAUUCCGAUCUAUAUGAAGCUCAAUAACACAUGGUACUAGAAGUUGUAAUAGCAGUUACCUGUAGGACUGGAGGUUUGUAUUGAAAGAGAAGGAACAUCAGGAAGUCUGCUGGAGCCUGGAAAUGUCUGAGAUGUUGCUCUGGGAGGCAGUUGCAUGGCUGUAGACAUAUGUAAGACAUUAUUGGAUGGUAUACCUGAGAUUGGAGCACCUACAAUAGAAGGUACAGUGUUACAUCUCAGU